Long non-coding RNA from Dalotia coriaria, 756 nucleotides. RefSeq lists it as uncharacterized. The transcript has 2 exons. NCBI's taxonomy places the organism in Eukaryota, Metazoa, Arthropoda, Insecta, Coleoptera, Staphylinidae. The record is from RefSeq and is a predicted model, not a curated record.
UUGGAAUUAGUUUUUCUCGUUGCAUAAAUUACCUGUCCCCGACUGAUAACACGAUAACGCCAUCGCCGUUCAAAUUUAAAUUUAUUUAAAUAUCAAUUCGCAACCACUAUAUAUACUCUUGUCAAAUAUUCGUGUGGUAUCAUUGGGUUGAAAACAAGAAACCAGUAAAAAUGAAAUCCUUCGCAGUUAUCCUGUUGUGCGUGGCUCUGGCCCAUGUGGCUUUUGCCAAGGUGACCCCUGCCAAAGAGGAAGUCAAAUACCCAGUAGCUGCACCUGUUGUUGCAUCCGAAGCGAUCGCCGCAGCUAACGGUCUUUACAGUCUCGUCAGUUUGUUGUUGACUCCUUCUCUUGGGUGUACAAUGCAUUGGCCGCUGUCCGCGCCACUAUGGUAACCCCACCAAAAUGGGUAACCUGGGCUUGACACUUCGUGGUACCUUGACUGGUUACAACUUGGUCGGCUACCUCCUCAGUAUCCUUGUUUUGGACAUUCCUCUUGUUUCUCUCAUCGAUCUCCUCUACACUGUGACUUGCUCCGGACCUAGCGCUAGCUACGGUAUCCUCGGAAACGUGGUUUACACUCUAACCAUAAGGAUAAACCCAAUCAGUGUUUUGCUCGGGGGUCUUGGAGUCGGCAACAUCAUCCAAGUUGUUUUAGACUACCUCUUCUAUGCUGACUGCUAAUAAAUUUCAUGUUUAUGUCAUGUUGUUACCGAUGACUUAAGUGUUCAAUAAAUUACAACCGAAUAUUAUUUCAAA